GGGGGUACAGGAGGGCUGUGCAGCCGUCUCGAAAACCGUUGAAUGCGCAAGCAUUUCAAGGGUUCAAAUCCCUUACUCUCCGCCA
RNAcentral lists this transfer RNA (85 nucleotides) under Candidatus Neomicrothrix parvicella. RNAcentral describes it as "tRNA-Ser". Lineage: Bacteria; Bacillati; Actinomycetota; Acidimicrobiia; Acidimicrobiales; Microthrixaceae. The record is from RNAcentral. RNAcentral also lists the same sequence under 1 other name.